GGGGUUCGGUUAGUGGCAAGGUUGGGGUUAAGUUGGGUUAGAGUUAAUACUGGGUUCGAUUAGGGUUAGUAUCAUAAUUGAGUUAUGGGUCUAAUCAAGGUGAGGGGUGGGGUUUAGUUAGGAUUGGUUUAGGAUUAGAAUUAGAAUCAGGUUAGAGUUUGGCUCGGGGCCAGGGUUAGAGAGGAAUUAUGGUUAAGGUUCGG
This 203-nucleotide long non-coding RNA is filed under the name Elaeis guineensis (African oil palm). RNAcentral describes it as "long non-coding RNA (EGUI_LNC007959)". Lineage: Eukaryota; Viridiplantae; Streptophyta; Magnoliopsida; Arecales; Arecaceae. The record is from RNAcentral.